AAAUUCCUGAAGUUCUCAUUGCCCAAAUCUCAAAAUUGUUGUUUUUAAACACCAUGUACGCAACGGACACAAUCUGUGAAAUCAACAAGAAUGGAGAAACACAGGGUUCACACAAUAAGCAACCUACUAACGAGACGAAGGACUGAAGAUCACGUUCGGUGGUCCGAUUUUGUUCCCUUUUUUUUUGCACGAAACGGACCCGAUUCCGUUGGACCGAACGUUUCCACAGGAAGAAAAGAAUCGAAACCGAGGGAUGAGAAACGAGGAAAAUCGUGGCGGGGACGGCGACGAUUUCGUUCGUCGAUAAAAUAAAUAGAAACGUAGCGACACGUACGGCGCCGUAUACGUGCCGCCCAAUAAGAGCUCUCUUCGAACAUGCGAAUGUUUCCUAUCCUUUUUUUAACUGAGAUUUUUCUUGACACUUGUGUUUCUAUUAAAUUCACAUACUCGCAUAAUGUUGUUGAUAAGAAUACUUUCAGAAUGUAUUUGAAUGAAUUUGUACUAUUAUAUGCUGA
This is a long non-coding RNA of Megachile rotundata (alfalfa leafcutting bee), 515 nucleotides long. RefSeq lists it as uncharacterized. Lineage: Eukaryota; Metazoa; Arthropoda; Insecta; Hymenoptera; Megachilidae. The record is from RefSeq and is a predicted model, not a curated record.